RNAcentral lists this ribosomal RNA (484 nucleotides) under uncultured bacterium. RNAcentral's name for it is "partial 16S ribosomal RNA". It matches the Rfam family "Bacterial small subunit ribosomal RNA", at positions 30 to 507 of the family's 1533-position model. The record is from RNAcentral.
AUUGAACGCUGGCGGCAGGCCUAACACAUGCAAAUCGAGCGGAUGAAGGGAGCUUGCUCCUGGAUUCAGCGGCGGACGGGUGAGUAAUGCCUAGGAAUCUGCCUGGUAGUGGGGGAUAACGUCCGGAAACGGGCGCUAAUACCGCAUACGUCCUGAGGGAGAAAGUGGGGGAUCUUCGGAACUCACGCUAUCAGAUGAGCCUAGGUCGGAUUAGCUAGUUGGUGGGGUAAAGGCCUACCAAGGCGACGAUCCGUAGCUGGUCUGAGAGGAUGAUCAGUCACACUGGAACUGAGACACGGUCCAGACUCCUGCGGGAGGCAGCAGUGGGGAAUAUUGGACAAUGGGCGAAAGCCUGAUCCAGCCAUGCCGCGUGUGUGAAGAAGGUCUUCGGAUUGUAAAGCACUUUAAGUUGGGAGGAAGGGCAGUAAGUUAAUACCUUGCUGUUUUGACGUUACCAACAGAAUAAGCACCGGCUAACUUCGUG